Molecule: non-coding RNA, 91 nt
Organism: Marasmius tenuissimus
Lineage: Eukaryota; Fungi; Basidiomycota; Agaricomycetes; Agaricales; Marasmiaceae
Source: the annotation of a GenBank genome assembly
GCCGACUUAGCUUAGUGGUAGAGCGUUGCACUUGUAGGCAGACAGGCUCCGCACGAUGCAAAGGUCGGUUGUUCAAUCCAGCCAAUCGGCA